This 565-nucleotide ribosomal RNA is filed under the name uncultured bacterium. Its description in RNAcentral is "bacterial SSU rRNA". It matches the Rfam family "Bacterial small subunit ribosomal RNA", at positions 337 to 919 of the family's 1533-position model. The record is from RNAcentral.
UCCUACGGGAGGCAGCAGUUAGGAAUAUUGGACAAUGGGGGCAACCCUGAUCCAGCCAUGCCGCGUGAGUGAAGAAGGCCUUAGGGUUGUAAAACUCUUUCAGAUGCGAGGAUAAUGACAGUAGCGUCAGAAGAAGCCCCGGCUAAAUUCGUGCCAGCAGCCGCGGUGAUACGAAUGGGGCGAGCGUUGUUCGGAAUUACUGGGCGUAAAGCGUGCGUAGGCGGAUAUGAAAGUCAGAAGUGAAAGCCCAGGGCUUAACCCUGGAACUGCUUUUGAAACUUCAUAUCUAGAGUUCUGGAGAGGCAAGGGGAAUUCCUAGUGUAAAGGUAAAAUUUGCAGAUAUUAGGAGGAACACCAAAGGCGUAGGCACCUUGCUGGACAGAUACUGACGCUCAGGUACGAAAGCAUGGGUAGCAAACAGGAUUAGAUACCCUGGUAGUCCAUGCCGUAAACGAUGUGUGCUAGUUGUUAGUUCUUUUAUAGAAUUAGUAACGACGCUAACGCAUUAAGCACACCGCCUGGGGAGUACGGUCGCAAGAUUAAAACUCAAAGGAAUUGACGGGGA